This 2031-nucleotide long non-coding RNA is filed under the name Hordeum vulgare. Its description in RNAcentral is "long non-coding RNA (HVUL_LNC014108)". Lineage: Eukaryota; Viridiplantae; Streptophyta; Magnoliopsida; Poales; Poaceae. The record is from RNAcentral.
GAACCACCACCACCGGAGAGAGACGUCACGUCUCCUCCGCCGACACAGCAUGCCCUACCACCUUCCCCCCGCCCCCGCCCCAGCGCGCGCCACGUCCAACCGCGCGGCCGGCUAUAAGUAGACGCACCACGCCGCCCAGAAACGCCGGCCAUUAGCCAGCUGCUAUAUCACCUGCUCCACUACUGUUACCCAUCGUCAAUCACCUUCCCAGUUGCUUUCUCUCCCCAUCGUCACCGUCGACGCGUACACCGGGCGGUGAGUUGGUCGUCUCCGGGGAGGAUCGAUCAAGAUGAGCGAUCCCAAGUACGCCUACCCCUACCCCGCGCAAGGUACGCGCGAGCUCACCCUCAUCUUGCUUGCUUGCUUGCUUGCUAUGGAGAGGAACCAGAAGAGGAUCCAUCCAAGAUGCGGCCGGGUUCCGUUUCUUCAUCAUCUUGAUGUUGAUGGUCUGUUUCUGGUUAUUUAUAUGCAGGUUACUACCAAGGGGGGCCAUACCAGGGGCAGGGCGGCCCGUACCAGGGGCCGCCGGUCAUGGCGCCGCCGCAGUACGCCGCGCCGCCGCCGCCGCGAGCCCAGCCCAGCUUCCUCGAGGGCUGGUACGUGCGUGCUUAAUUACCUUGUCCACGGCCACGGCUAACAAUCACCUGUCCCCAAGCUAGUGAUUGGCAAAAUUACUCACUCUGUGCUCUCUCAUUGUGCAUGCAGUUUGGCCGCGCUCUGCUGCUGCUGCCUGAUCGACGAGUGCUGCUGCGACCCCUCCAUCAUCUUCGUCGGGUAGAUCAGAUCAGCAUGCGUCAACUGUACAAAGAGACGAUGAUGGCCUCCUCAAGGAUAUUUACCACGUUGUUGCCACGCUAUAUAUGAUACUAUAUCUAAUAUAUUCGCUUAUUGUAACUCGAAUCCAUCAGUAACAAAAAGGCUUCACGAUCCUGCUAUCUUCCGUCCGUCUCCAUUUCCUCUGCGUGUAAAUUCGUUGCACUGUUACAAGUGCGCUCGUUCAUUGUGCCUCUGGUAGUACUGAUGAUUUGUGAUUAAUUAUUCUCUUUUAUUACUGUGGUUGGGUGGAAUGUGGAUACACGAUGGAGAUGUCUCUACACUGAACGAGAGUGAGAGUGAAAGGCAACGACAAUUUGCGAGAAUUUAUGCUAAAGCAAAUAUUAUCCUGCUAUAAAGCACAGGUGCUUGAGCAGAGAUUAAAGGGGAAAAAACAGGUGUAUCUCCUCUCCCCUAAUAAUAAUAAUAAUAAUAAUAUAUGAUAUAUAUAAUAAUAAAGCGCGCAGCGCUUCUCGUCCGGCGUCGGUCAUUUUACAGAAGCCCUCGCAGUUUUAGGUAAUUAAUCCGCGGUUUAAUUUUAAGUCAGCGUCGUCGGUCAUUUUACAGAAGCCCUCGCAGUUUCAGAACGAACCGUUUUUUUGUCAUUUUGCAGAAAAGUCCUCACAAUUUUAGAUAAUCAACCGCCCAUGCCCGUGCACCGGCGCAACAGAGGAGAAGAGAAGGCAUGCGCGCAGUGGGAACGGAACACACGGCUGGGAUGGGAUGGGGGAUCGCCGGCCAGCGCAAGGUGACCGUGCGCCGGGGGGAAUCAGGUGCCAAAACCUCGUUGCAAAGCAAAGCAAAGCAAAGGAGGUACUACUACCGAGGGGUUCGAUUCGGCGGCCCCUUUCGCGCGCUUUCGAGAUGCUUCCUCUUGGUCAGGCCUCCAACCGAACCACCACCACCGGAGAGAGACGUCACGUCUCCUCCGCCGACACAGCAUGCCCUACCACCUUCCCCCCGCCCCCGCCCCAGCGCGCGCCACGUCCAACCGCGCGGCCGGCUAUAAGUAGACGCACCACGCCGCCCAGAAACGCCGGCCAUUAGCCAGCUGCUAUAUCACCUGCUCCACUACUGUUACCCAUCGUCAAUCACCUUCCCAGUUGCUUUCUCUCCCCAUCGUCACCGUCGACGCGUACACCGGGCGGUGAGUUGGUCGUCUCCGGGGAGGAUCGAUCAAGAUGAGCGAUCCCAAGUACGCCUACCCCUACCCCGCGC